UACGAAGGGGGCUAGCGUUGUUCGGAAUUACUGGGCGUAAAGCGCGCGCAGGCGGUCUUCCAAGUCAGUGGUGAAAGCCCGGAGCUCAACUCCGGAACUGCCAUUGAAACUGUUGGACUUGAGUACGAGAGAGGUGAGUGGAAUUCCCAGUGUAGAGGUGAAAUUCGUAGAUAUUGGGAAGAACACCGGUGGCGAAGGCGGCUCACUGGCCCGAUACUGACGCUGAGGUGCGAAAGCGUGGGGAGCAAACAGGG
This 254-nucleotide ribosomal RNA is filed under the name uncultured bacterium. RNAcentral describes it as "partial 16S ribosomal RNA". It matches the Rfam family "Bacterial small subunit ribosomal RNA", at positions 524 to 777 of the family's 1533-position model. The record is from RNAcentral.